CAAAAACAAGAUCUACAAAAGCAUCAUGAUGAACAAGGAACCAUUUAAUCUGGUCUUGCUUUUUCUUUCCCAUCAGAAACACUUCAGACACAAGAAAAACUUCAGAAAUCUAAAAAUUACAAGGUUAUCAGGUCAACAGAAAGAAAAAGUCAAGAGGAUUUGUCAAGGACAUCUAAAAGUGGAAAUAUUUGGGAAUUGUGAAAAAGAGGACAUGACGUAGAUAUUUGGAAUAUACUCUACAUAGCCAACACUUCCACCCAGCUUUUCAACAACAACAACAACAACAACAAAAGGCUCCCUGCUCUCUCUGGUAUAAAUCAGCCCCAGUCACUCAACAGUCUGAAAGACACUGAGGCAAGGAUGGGUGAAAGACAAAGUUAUUUCAUAUUUCUAAUUUGAAGAUGAGAAUCGCAGUGAAAACUUUGGACAUACUUCUGAUUCAAUAAGCCUAUAAAAGCAGAAUGUAGAAAAGAGUAACACAGAGAAGAUUCAUGAAUGGCUCCAAGGAAAGAGACACUGGUUAUCAGCAUCUUGUGCAAGGGAUUGGCAUCAGUCCCACGUUCCAGUGAGUCCUCUGCCACACGGCUGUUCGAUGAUCUUGCAAGAAACUCAGGCUGUAUUUCUAAAACAAUGGCUUUGAAUCUGCAGUCCAAAAAUCCCUGAGAGUUCACGGCCCUUUUCUGGAAAUGUGAAGUUAACAAGAUAAUUCUCAAGAAGCAUAAAGUUGAUAUGCUGCCAUCUACAGCUUCACUGGAAAAAGAUUUAAGCUCUGCUCGCUGAGAAGGAUAAAGACUGCUGCUCUUCAUUAUCUGAUCUGACCAUCUUCAGUAGUCAUAUGGAUGCCGGAGAAAGUUUAAAGUAAAUAUAAGACUCAUCUGGCUGUGACUCAGUCUAGAAAAUAAAAACGUAUUAUUGCUUAAGAAAAUAGCCAGAAAAGAUAUGCAAAACUGUAGGGUGACUUUAGAGAGAAGUGUGGGAGCAAGUCUUUAGAGUCAUAUUGUACUCACAGCUGCUAUUUGGACAGAAAAGUGCAGUUUAGCCAUCUCUGUUUUUCACUCUAUUUCAUGUAAUCCAGAAUUCCACUUUUCAGGAGCAGAUCUUACCAAUUUGUUAAAGAUCUCCUUGAGGUCUUUCACGAGGAAAUCUUAUAGCUUCUGCCAUUAAUGCCAUGAGAUCUCUGACCUAGACUACUAGGACAGCAAUUUUAUGGGGCUAAACCAUAGGCUUACCCCAGAGAUAAGGCCAGUGCAGAAUUCAGAAAAUUAUUUUUUACGUGGCACCUCUUUCAAAUCAUGCCUGGUAUAAGGGCCCUCACACUUGCACUAGCUCUUUAAGGGUUACUAUUUCAGUCACAAGCUUUGCCCUGCAGUUCCACAAAGAUGCUGAAAAAAUGGUUCUCCCCAUUUCCAUAGCUGUACAGGUAUUAUCCAAGAAUGUCUGGUAUGGUGGUGGAUUCAAGAACAAAGGAAAGAAUGGGGCAGGGUUUUGGAUGAAUUUACCUGAUAUUUAGAGACUGCUUUUUUUCUUUCAAACUGAAACAAUUAUAAUUUUAUUUUAUUUAGGACAUGUUCAGAUAAUCACAAAUUUAAGGUAGUUAUUAAUAGUUAUAAGAUUAAAUUCUGUGUUAUAAAGUUAUCUAUAAUUAUUUUUGUCUAUUUUUGGAAACCAGUGACCUGCAAAGUUUGGGCAAGAGCUGUGGAUCCUGACUACUUUAUCAGGAAAACAACAGCAUUUCAGUGUCAAGAAACUGAGAAAACACAAAUUUUGCUUUGCUUAGAACAAGGUCUAUUAAAUUAAUGCCUGCAUUUGUUUUUAACCUAGUAGACUUUCUCUUCCCUCCACUCUCUCUUCUCCAUAUAUAGAAGUAUUCAACAGUUAUUAUAUAUUUGAAAUUCUUAGCUACCAGAAAGUAGCAUUAAUAGCUGGAAGUGCCUUUACAAAGGAAAUGUUCAUUAUUUUAUAGAUUGGAUAGACUUGGACUGUAAUUACAUACUCAAGAUCAUGAAGGAGACUCUUGAAAUUGUUUAGAAAUAAAGCUCUGAGCUACUUCCAAGCUUACGGCUGUUGUUGGUUUUGCCCUUUCCUAGAUGAUGUCAGACAAAUGAGGGAGUAAUAAGGAAUAAGGCAUCUAACUUUUAGACAAAUUGAACUCUAAAUUACCUAUAGCACUGACCAAGGAGACUUCAUCCUUAAGAACAAAAAACGUGAGAAAUCUGAGCUGGCUGUAGGAAGUAGUAUAGGACUUUGUGCUUUCUACCCAAAGAAAACCAAAGGUGGGACAGUCAAGCAAAUUACCACCUCCAUGAGGAACUGUGCUCUACCUGGUAACCUUUGUGGAAAGAGAUGAGUUACCAGAGCCCAACUUACAUGCAGUCACUCACAAAGC
Long non-coding RNA from Gallus gallus (chicken), 2386 nucleotides. The record is from Ensembl. NCBI's taxonomy places the organism in Eukaryota, Metazoa, Chordata, Aves, Galliformes, Phasianidae.